This 433-nucleotide RNase P RNA is filed under the name Algoriphagus sp. Its description in RNAcentral is "RNase P RNA component class A". It matches the Rfam family "Bacterial RNase P class A". From Rfam's summary of the family: Ribonuclease P (RNase P) is a ubiquitous endoribonuclease, found in archaea, bacteria and eukarya as well as chloroplasts and mitochondria. Lineage: Bacteria; Pseudomonadati; Bacteroidota; Cytophagia; Cytophagales; Cyclobacteriaceae. The record is from RNAcentral.
CGUGCAAGUCGACUUGCCGCUGUCUCGAACCCGAUUGCUAUCGGGACGGGAGAGAGGAAAGUCCGGGCAACGUAGAGCGCCAUACUUCCUAACGGGAAGGACUUCGGCCGGAGACAGCCGAAGGACAGAAAGUGCCACAGAAACAAACCGCCACUCAACACAGGGCUUGUCCCUGAGCCUGUUGAAGGGUAAGGGUGAAAAGGUGGGGUAAGAGCCCACCGCUCCGAUGGUGACAAAGGAGGCAAGGCAAACCUUAUGGGUUGAAAGAUCAAAUAGGUUCCGCUCCGGAUGCAAAUCUGGGAAAGGCUGCUCGUCUUUAUGCGGAACGGGUAGAUCGAUGGAUCCCGAUCGCGAGAUCGGGGCUAGAUAAAUGGCAAGUAUCUUCCAAAACAUUUGGAAGAGACAGGACCCGGCUUACAGACUUGCACUUUUU